GAUAGGGUGACAGAAAGUAAUGUGAUAGAUUGUAAAUCUAGUUAUGAAGGUUCGAGUCCUUUCCUUAUUA
This 70-nucleotide transfer RNA is filed under the name Aquilonastra batheri. RNAcentral describes it as "tRNA-Tyr". It matches the Rfam family "tRNA". Rfam says of the family: Transfer RNA (tRNA) molecules are approximately 80 nucleotides in length. Their secondary structure includes four short double-helical elements and three loops (D, anti-codon, and T loops). Lineage: Eukaryota; Metazoa; Echinodermata; Asteroidea; Valvatida; Asterinidae. The record is from RNAcentral.